UAGGAUUUUGUGUCUCUCGCGUUAGGUUUCCUAAAUCUGUAAAACGUUGUGUAAUGUGAUUUCUUCAUUCGAUUAGGGUUUCAUCGUUGUCUUCCUUCCUUACAAAACUCAAUCCGCCCGGUUUCGCUUUUCAUGAUCUGCAAAAAUAAUUAUCUCUUCUCAUCUCUUCACCUCCUCUUUCGUUUCUCUUCACUUCCCCUUUUGUUCAAUGUAUUCUUUUUAAUUCGUGAAUAAUUAUUAUUCACAUUAAACCCAUUCACAAUGUCGACGACUCUGUUUCCUUCAUCUCAAAUCUAUAAAUAUGAGCGGGUUGAGAUUAGGAUGGAUCUUCAGAACCAGGGGGUCUAGGUUCCUGCUUUUUUUUUGGUUGCAAAGGUUCCUGCGUUGAAAGAAACUGUAUCUCUUUUAAUAUUUUAUCGUCAUCUCAAAGAUGGCUGACAAGAAGAUUAAGAUUGGAAUCAACGGUUUCGGAAGAAUGGUGGCUAGAAUGAUCCUUCAGCGUAAUGAUGCUGAGCUCGUCGCUGUUGACGAUCCCUUCAUCACCACCGAGUACAUGACGUAAAAGUUUAAGUACGCCAGUGUUCACGGUCAGUGGAAGCACAAUGAACUCAAGUUGAAAGAUGAGAAAACAGGUAUUGUUUUCUGCAUCAGGUACUGUGUUGAGCUAGCUGUCGAAGAUCUCAAGGACGGUGCAACAUUUUUUUGUUUUUGACACGGAGAUAAUGGAACUGACCAAAAAAAGAUGCAGCCUCACUGUCUCGAGGAGGCUACUAACGGUGGAGUCUCGCAGCUCCCAUACUGUCUAGAAGAACUUGUUGGCAAGCGAUGCCUCUUUCAGAUUCAGGUGACACCUACAAUUUCACUCCCAACCACCGCACCUUCACUGUUUGUAAUUAUUGAAUAUGUGGUUGUGAAGACUAACAGAGAAUAAGCUAAGCUUUGCUCGGUUAACAAUCUCGACGGGGUGAUCUGAAAUAACACUUAGUUCUAUUACUUUUAAGGUGAAUGCAGCAGAACAGCUCCACAAGCUGUAGGCCAAAAUGAGCAACCACCUGUUCUGGCAGCAACCCAGAGGAUAUGGCUACAAAAGUGAUGGUUGUGGAUCAACCAACACCACCCAGUAUCGGAGACAAAUAGAAAGUUGGAGGCGUAGCGAGCCGUCAUUCCCACUUGAGAUUUCUUUCGUUAGAAACUUUAAGCCAUAUCAAUUUCCUCUGUUUUUCGUUUUACAUGUUUUGGCUUUUUAAAAUUUUCUGCAAACAAACUCCAACUAGGGGCAGUGUUAUUUCGAUUUUACUAAAGGGAAGCUGGCUACUUAAGUCUUUGCAAACAA
Long non-coding RNA from Raphanus sativus (radish), 1333 nucleotides. RefSeq lists it as uncharacterized. The record is from RefSeq and is a predicted model, not a curated record. The transcript has 6 exons. Lineage: Eukaryota; Viridiplantae; Streptophyta; Magnoliopsida; Brassicales; Brassicaceae.